GCCCUAACACUUGACAAGUCGAGCGCUCUCUUCGGGAGGGAGCGGCGGACGGGUGAGUACAGGAACGUGCCCUUCUCUAUGGAAUAGCCACUGGAAACGGUGAGUAAUACCAUAUACGCCCUUCGGGGGAAAGAUUUAUCGGAGAAGGAUCGGCCCGCGUUAGAUUAGGUAGUUGGUGGGGUAAUGGCCUACCAAGCCUACGAUCUAUAGCUGGUUUUAGAGGAUGAUCAGCCACACUGGGACUGAGACACGGCCCAGACUCCUACGGGAGGCAGCAGUGGGGAAUCUUAGACAAUGGGCGCAAGCCUGAUCUAGCCAUGCCGCGUGAGUGAUGAAGGCCUUAGGGUCGUAAAGCUCUUUCGCCAGAGAUGAUAAUGACAGUAUCUGGUAAAGAAACCCCGGGUAACUCCGUGCCAGCAGCCGCGGUAAUACGGAGGGGGUUAGCGUUGUUCCGAAUUACUGGGCGUAAAGCGCACGUAGCGGAUUAGAAAGUUAGGGGUGAAAUCCCGGGGCUCAACCUCGGAACUGCCUCUAAAACUCCUAGUC
This 546-nucleotide ribosomal RNA is filed under the name uncultured Alphaproteobacteria bacterium. Its description in RNAcentral is "bacterial SSU rRNA". It matches the Rfam family "Bacterial small subunit ribosomal RNA", at positions 46 to 641 of the family's 1533-position model. The record is from RNAcentral. Lineage: Bacteria; Pseudomonadati; Pseudomonadota; Alphaproteobacteria.